RNAcentral lists this transfer RNA (90 nucleotides) under Hyphomicrobiales bacterium. Its description in RNAcentral is "tRNA-Ser". It matches the Rfam family "tRNA". Rfam says of the family: Transfer RNA (tRNA) molecules are approximately 80 nucleotides in length. Their secondary structure includes four short double-helical elements and three loops (D, anti-codon, and T loops). Lineage: Bacteria; Pseudomonadati; Pseudomonadota; Alphaproteobacteria; Hyphomicrobiales. RNAcentral also lists the same sequence under 4 other names. The record is from RNAcentral.
GGAGAGGUGGCCGAGCGGUCGAAGGCGCACGCUUGGAAAGCGUGUAGGCGAGUAAUCGUCUCGCGGGUUCGAAUCCCGCUCUCUCCGCCA